CGGGAUGUAGGGGAGCGGCACCCCACGUGCUUUGGGCGCACGGAAUCGUCGGUUCGAGUCCGUCCAUCCCGA
Molecule: transfer RNA, 72 nt
Filed under: Planctomycetaceae bacterium
Lineage: Bacteria; Pseudomonadati; Planctomycetota; Planctomycetia; Planctomycetales; Planctomycetaceae
Description: tRNA-Pro
Rfam family: tRNA
About the family: Transfer RNA (tRNA) molecules are approximately 80 nucleotides in length. Their secondary structure includes four short double-helical elements and three loops (D, anti-codon, and T loops). Further hydrogen bonds mediate the characteristic L-shaped molecular structure. tRNAs have two regions of fundamental functional importance: the anti-codon, which is responsible for specific mRNA codon recognition, and the 3' end, to which the tRNAs corresponding amino acid is attached (by aminoacyl-tRNA synthetases). tRNAs cope with the degeneracy of the genetic code in two manners: having more than one tRNA (with a specific anti-codon) for a particular amino acid; and 'wobble' base-pairing, i.e. permitting non-standard base-pairing at the 3rd anti-codon position.
Source: RNAcentral